GGCGGCGUAGCCAAGCGGUAAGGCAGAGGUCUGCAAAACCUCCAUACAUCGGUUCAAUUCCGAUCGCCGCCUCCA
Molecule: transfer RNA, 75 nt
Filed under: Acidobacteriota bacterium
Lineage: Bacteria; Pseudomonadati; Acidobacteriota
Also listed under: 4 other names
Description: Acidobacteria bacterium tRNA-Cys
Rfam family: tRNA
About the family: Transfer RNA (tRNA) molecules are approximately 80 nucleotides in length.
Source: RNAcentral